Anoplopoma fimbria (sablefish) is the source of this 585-nucleotide long non-coding RNA. RefSeq lists it as uncharacterized. The record is from RefSeq and is a predicted model, not a curated record. The transcript has 3 exons. NCBI's taxonomy places the organism in Eukaryota, Metazoa, Chordata, Actinopteri, Perciformes, Anoplopomatidae.
UGUACUCUGUGUGCUCAUCGCUUUGGAUUUUGCCUAUUGCCUACUGUUUUUCUUCAUGGACUGUAUAUGACCACCAGCUUUUUAAAGAGAUCCAGCCUUUUUGAACAUACCUUGUGUCCUGUGUCGAACAUUUGCUUUUUUGCCUUUUUGCCACAUUUGAACGAAUUCAACAUUAAGGGCUGGAGAGCAACCUCUCACCCUUUGGGACCUGGUGUGUAUGUAAUGACCUUUCAACACACCCUGGGUCUUCUUGAAACUCGAGACUGUGUGAUGAGGUGCGAACUGAAAACGGAAGGGCUGAGAGAUGAAAGACGGACAGAGAAAGUGGGCGCAAGUGUACCAGACUGAUGCCAAGUUAAAGAAGUGGUGACUGAUUUCGCUAACAGAGGCAGUCUGGAUUCACUUAAGUGAGUGUAAUGUAUAGAGUGAUCACAUUACAAUGCCACAACUGAGCCUUUCUCCAACCUAUUACCUCUAUUCCAACAUCCUGACCGUGACUGAAAAUAAAAUGAUCGGCAGAAAACUGUCAACUGAGUCAACUGUCAAAGAUAAUUAACUUUUCGAAAUGUAUGUUUUGAAGCAAAA